Molecule: long non-coding RNA, 564 nt
Organism: Dermochelys coriacea (leatherback sea turtle)
Lineage: Eukaryota; Metazoa; Chordata; Testudines; Dermochelyidae
Exons: 3
Source: RefSeq, a predicted model, not a curated record
CAGUAGCAACUCAGUUACCAGGAGGAGAUAACAAGACCUAGAAUAUGAGAGAUUGGUAAUCCCUAUCAAAGGUGGGCUGAUUAAUAGGAAAAUUAAAAGAAGAUGGUUGAUUAGAUGGGAGAACAUAUGGCAGAAAGUCUUUACAGUAUGUAUGGAACAGCUUCCAAAUUGUAAUAGAUUUCACAUCUAAAGUCUGGAAUUGGUACAUCGGAGAAAGCCACCAAAGAUGUUUUUAAUGUUUUAACCUAUUUGCCAUAAACGUUAGCUGCUUUCAUAGUUGAGGAUUGUGGUGGUGGAGGACGUUUGUGUGUCGAGGAGGGGUAGAAGGGGGGAGGACUAUAUUAGCAGAAAGAGAACAAGAAACCUUGAAAAUAAUGUUCUGCCAAAUGGAGAUAAAAUUACGUACAAAAUUGGAAAGCUGGAGAAGUGGAACCUUCAAUGAAGUUACAGCAGCGGGGUUGAAAAGAAAGGAGUCAAUGGAGCAAAGGAUUUCCCAACAGUGCUACUAUCAGUUCAGUUGCACCAGUGGGGAGCCUCACUGCAUAACAAACCUGUAGUGGCUGG